AGCCUGCCCCACAUGUGGCCCAUACAUAUACAGCCACCCAAUUGGACAAGAUGGAUGAAGCAAAGAAGUGCAGACCGACAGGAGCCGGAUGUAGAUCGCUCCUGAGAGACACAGCCAGAAUACAGCAAAUACAGAGGCGAAUGCCAGCAGCAAACCACUGAACUGAGAAUAGGUCCCCCGUUGAAGGAAUCAGAGAAAGAACUGGAAGAGCUUGAAGGGGCUCGAGACCCCAAAAGUACAACAAUGUCAAGCAACCAGAGCUUCCAGGGACUAAGCCACUACCUAAAGACUAUAUAUGGACUGACCCUGGACUCUGACCCCAUAGGUAGCAAUGAAUAUCCUAGUAAGAGCACCAGUGGAAGGGGAAGCCCUGGGUCCUGCUAAGACUGAACCCCCAGUGAACUAGACUAUGGGGGGAGGGCGGCAAUGGGGGGAGGGUUGGGAGGGGAACACCCAUAAGGAAGGGGAGGGGGGAGGGGGAUUUUGCCCGGAAACCGGGAAAGGGAAUAACACUUGAAAUGUAUAUAAGAAAUACUCAAGUUAAUAAAAAAAAAAAGAGCAAAAAAAAAAAAAAA
Molecule: long non-coding RNA, 575 nt
Filed under: Rattus norvegicus (Norway rat)
Lineage: Eukaryota; Metazoa; Chordata; Mammalia; Rodentia; Muridae
Description: long non-coding RNA NONRATT016197
Source: RNAcentral